CGGACGGGUGAGUAACGCGUGGAAAACCUGCCGUAUACUGGGGGAUAACACUUAGAAAUAGGUGCUAAUACCGCAUAAGCGCACAGCUUCGCAUGAAGCGGUGUGAAAAACUCUGGUGGUAUACGAUGGUUCCGCGUCUGAUUAGCUAGUUGGUGGGGUAAUGGCCUACCAAGGCAACGAUCAGUAGCCGGCUUGAGAGGGUGAACGGCCACAUUGGGACUGAGACACGGCCCAAACUCCUACGGGAGGCAGCAG
RNAcentral lists this ribosomal RNA (255 nucleotides) under uncultured bacterium. Its description in RNAcentral is "partial 16S ribosomal RNA". It matches the Rfam family "Bacterial small subunit ribosomal RNA", at positions 99 to 354 of the family's 1533-position model. The record is from RNAcentral.